Molecule: microRNA precursor, 102 nt
Filed under: Marmota monax (woodchuck)
Lineage: Eukaryota; Metazoa; Chordata; Mammalia; Rodentia; Sciuridae
Source: RNAcentral
AAUGAGAUAGCUGGGCCAUAUUAUGGUUCCAUUCCUAGCUUUUGAGGAAUUUCCAUACUGCUUUCCAAAGCAGUUGUACUAAUUUGCAGUUCCACCAGCAAU